RNAcentral lists this ribosomal RNA (440 nucleotides) under uncultured bacterium. RNAcentral describes it as "partial 16S ribosomal RNA". It matches the Rfam family "Bacterial small subunit ribosomal RNA", at positions 338 to 795 of the family's 1533-position model. The record is from RNAcentral.
CCUACGGUGAGCAGCAGUAGGGAAUAUUGCUCAAUGGGCGAAACCCUGAAGCAGCAACGCCGCGUGGAGGAUGACGGUUUUAUGAUUGUAAACUCCUUUUGAUAGGGAAGAUAAUUACGGUAUCUCACGGAUAUUCUCCGGCUAACUCCGUUCCAGCAGCCGCGGUAAUACGGAGGGUGCAAGCGUGACCCGGAAGCACUGGGCGUAAAGAGGGCGCAGGUGGGUUUGUAAGUCAGAUGUGAAAUCCUGUAGCGUAACUACAGAACUGCAGUUGAAACUAGGAGUCUAGAGUGUGGGAGAGGUAGGUGGAAUUCGUGGUGUAGGGGUAAAAUCCGUAGAUAUCAAGAGGAAUACUCAUUGCGAAGGCGACCUACUGGAACAUAACUGACGCUCAUGCACGAAAGCGUGGGGAGCAAACAGGAUUAGAUACCCUUGUAGUC